This 446-nucleotide ribosomal RNA is filed under the name uncultured bacterium. RNAcentral's name for it is "bacterial SSU rRNA". It matches the Rfam family "Bacterial small subunit ribosomal RNA", at positions 329 to 792 of the family's 1533-position model. The record is from RNAcentral.
CGCCAGACUCCUACGGGAGGCAGCAGUGGGGAAUAUUGCACAAUGGGGGAAACCCUGAUGCAGCGACGCCGCGUGAGCGAUGAAGUAUUUCGGUAUGUAAAGCUCUAUCAGCAGGGAAGAAGAUGACGGUACCUGACUAAGGAGCCCCGGCUAACUACGUGCCAGCAGCCGCGGUAAUACGUAGGGGGCAAGCGUUAUCCGGAUUUACUGGGUGUAAAGGGAGCGUAGACGGCGAUGCAAGCCAGAUGUGAAAGCCCGGGGCUCAACCCCGGGACUGCAUUUGGAACUGUGUGGCUGGAGUGUCGGAGAGGCAGGCGGAAUUCCUAGUGUAGCGGUGAAAUGCGUAGAUAUUAGGAGGAACACCAGUGGCGAAGGCGGCCUGCUGGACGAUGACUGACGUUGAGGCUCGAAAGCGUGGGGAGCAAACAGGAUUAGAUACCCCAGUA